RNAcentral lists this ribosomal RNA (386 nucleotides) under uncultured eukaryote. Its description in RNAcentral is "partial 18S ribosomal RNA". It matches the Rfam family "Eukaryotic small subunit ribosomal RNA", at positions 592 to 975 of the family's 1831-position model. The record is from RNAcentral.
CAAUAGCGUAUAUUAACGUUGUUGCAGUUAAAAAGCUCGUAGUUGGAUUUCUGGUUGGAGAGACCGGUCCGGGCCCAUCGUGGUCCGUGCACUUGUGUUUCAUCCGACCUUCUGCGUGGAGAAGGUGUUUCCGGGUUCAUUCUCGGGGCAGCGAGUUCACGCGUUAUACUGCGAAAAAAUCAAAGCGUUCAAAGCAGGCACUUUUGCUGUGAAUGUUUUAGCAUGGAAUAUUAAGAUAGGACUUUGGUACUAUUUUGUUGGUUGAGCCUAAAGUAAUGAUUAAUAGGGAUAGUUGGGGGCACCUGUAUUGCGUUGUCAGAGGUGAAAUUCUUGGAUUUACGCAAGACAAACAGCUGCGAAAGCGUCUGCCAAGGAUGUUUUCAUUA